Molecule: non-coding RNA, 74 nt
Organism: Phrynosoma platyrhinos (Desert horned lizard)
Lineage: Eukaryota; Metazoa; Chordata; Lepidosauria; Squamata; Phrynosomatidae
Source: the annotation of a GenBank genome assembly
GAGCCAGUGUUCUGUAACGGUUAGCAUGUUGGACUGCGGCUUCAGAGAACCAGGUUCAAAACCUUGAUGAGUCA